UCAGGAUUAACGCUGGCGGCGUGCCUAACACAUGCAAGUCGAGCGGAAUAUCUUCGGAUAUUAGUGGCGAACGGGUGAGUAAUGUACAGGUAAUGUACCUUCGUACUGCGAAUAACAAGCUGAAAAGUUUGCUAAUACGGAAUAGUUUCCUUCGAGGGCAUCCUUAAAGGAAUAAAGAUUUAUCGUGCGGAGAUCAGCCUGUAUCCUAUUAGUUAGUUGGUGGGGUAAUGGCCUACCAAGACGACGAUGGGUAACUGGUCUGAGAGGAUGAGCAGUCACAUUGGAACUGAGAAACGGUCCAAACUCCUACGGGAGGCAGCAGUGAGGAAUUUUGCGCAAUGGGGGAAACCCUGACGCAGCAACGCCGCGUGAGUGAUGACGGCCUUCGGGUUGUAAAGCUCUGUCGUGUGUGACGAGUAGGGACGGUAACACACAAGGAAGCCUCGGCUAACUACGUGCCAGCCGCGGC
This 469-nucleotide ribosomal RNA is filed under the name uncultured bacterium. Its description in RNAcentral is "bacterial SSU rRNA". It matches the Rfam family "Bacterial small subunit ribosomal RNA", at positions 24 to 518 of the family's 1533-position model. The record is from RNAcentral.